CAAAAAAAGUCCACAUUGAUAGCACUAGACGAUAGCGCAUUUUCCUGACCUGCUAUAAUAGAUGAGUUCGUGAUUUUGGUUACUUUUUAAUAGCACCUGAUAAAUGCUAAAACCAAAAAUCCUUAAGCGGGAAACAAAAAUGACCUAUUCCGCCAACACUUAGCAAAACUUUUCAUAAACAUUUCUUCCUUUUACCCAAAACGUAUUGAGAACUUCUCACAGACUUAGACCUAAAAAAAAUUGAUUCUCACAGACUUAGUGGUCUCCCUCUCUCAUCCUUUCGAUCUCACUGUUCUCACUCUAUCGCUACCAUUUCCAUCACUCUAUCGGUAACGAUGGGUCUAUCAACAAAUCUCCAUAGCCUCAACCUUCGAUUCCACUUUCUUCACCGGUGGUAACGGAGGAGUCAAGAAGCCACAUCGUUACCGUCCUGGAACCAUCGCUGUUCGUGAGAUUCAUAAAUUUAGUGAAGAUGAGAUUAGAGCCGAGAAGAAUCCUCGCCCAUUUGAUGAAGAUGAUAUCGCUCUCGUAAAGAAUUAUGUUUGAUUCAUUGAGUCAAUAGAUUAUUUUCUGUCAAAGCACUAUGUUAACAGGUUUAGUUCGCUCCUUUUGGAUCAAUACAUGUUUGGUUCCAGCUCUUUAAUGAUCGUGAGAGGUUUAGAUAUGAUGCAUAUUUUCAAUUACAAAACAUGAUGCAGGUUUUCACAAGAUGCAGGUUUUCACAAGAUGCAGGUCUUCACAUGUGUAGGUUUUAACAUUAUACAUAACGGUACCCACCAUCAAUACUUUGUUUAAUGGCUUAUGGUUGUGAUGCUAACGUUUUCUAUUAAAAAAAUAUGGAUGUCUUGAUUUAGCAGGGAUGAUCCGUUGAUGAUGUUUAUGUUUAGUCAGUAACUUCUACUAAUUUCAGAAAGUUUUUGUCACUAUGUGCAUGUCUCCUUUGGUCAUUGAUUCAUACGUGUGUUUUGGCCACAGUUUUGUCUAUUUGUUUGCGGUUUUCUUUUUGUCUAGUUCUUUCAAUAUCCAGAAGCCAAAAGAGAAGAGCUUCUUUUUAGAGCUAGAGCUUCCUAUAUCUAAAGUUCAAGUUGUGGAGACAUGUGACUGAGGCUAAGAAGAAACAUUCAGAGAAGAAGGUGACGAAGUCUGAUGAACCUAAGCCAAAAAGACUUAGAAUAGCCAAGGAUACGAAGAAGAGCUCUUCUACCUUAAACAUGCCCAAACGACCUCUUACGGGCUUCUUUAUCUUCGUGAAUAUAUUCUGUCAUUUUUUUUGACGAGAGCAUCUAAGUUCUCUCAUUAAGGAUGUUGCAAAGAUCGGUGGUGGAAAGUGGACGUCUAUGACUGAGGAAUUGAGUUGCUUUAUUAUCUUGUUUCUUUGUUAGUUUCAUGGCGAUUUGUUUCUCUUUGUAGUUUAUCUCAUAAAUUAGUACUUUGUUGUGUAAGAGUAAUAGUUAGAUUUUUUUGUAUAAGACUUGUUAUAUAUGUUUUGUGUAAUGAUAAUUUUUGAUAA
Molecule: long non-coding RNA, 1510 nt
Organism: Arabidopsis lyrata subsp. lyrata
Lineage: Eukaryota; Viridiplantae; Streptophyta; Magnoliopsida; Brassicales; Brassicaceae
Exons: 7
Source: RefSeq, a predicted model, not a curated record